CAGCGAUCACGCUCCUUGUGUGGAGCUGGCGCGUGCGCCUGUCGCAUCUUCAGUCUUUUUUCGUCCCCUCCCCUCCCCUUCUCCACUCUCCCUGCAUCUCUUCAUCCCCUUUCCGUUUGAGACAGAUCUAUCUCCUUACUUCCUGUUAUCUUAGGAAGAGUGCACCGCCUUGCCAGGAUUUAAUUUGUGUUAUGUUUAGUGAGUAUUUGCAGAGAGCUGCCUGUGUGUCCGGCCUGGUGGGGAAAGAGGACCCAAGUGUGGUCCACCCGCAGCUGCUCGGAGGCUGGGAGUAGCGUGUGAUCCAGCAGUGCCUCUGAGAUCCCCAAGCGCUCGGCCCCUGUGAACCUUCUGCUCUACGGUGGUCACGGCCCAGGCUGCUGGAGGGAGUUAGGAGUCGCCCGCUCCUCCUUCUGCCCUCCUGCGCGCUCCCCUGGGGCUGCAUGGGGAGCCCCACCCUCUGCCAGGGAAGUCUGUGCCUUGAGGUGCAGAGGACACCUGGGGCUGAGACAGUGACUCAUGUGUGCCCUGGGGCCAAGUUACUUCAUCUCCUCUGUUCUUCCUCUUUCAGAAUCUCGCAGCUAUAAAGGAUCGGUGGUGCGGUUACUGCAGAGCUGUAACGCGCCUGUGCACGCACGUGUGCGCGUGUGCGCUGGCCUUGCUGUUUAAUAGGGUGCUAAGGCAGCGGGGGGCUGCGCGGCCGCCCCCAGCCCCUCACGUGUGGCUCUCAUUACUGUCGGAGGCGUCAGCUCGGCCGUCAUUAGGAGCGGUUCCCACAUCCCAGCGCCUGCGCCCUGGCUUCGUGGCAGGGAGCCCAGGCGGGCCAAGCAGCCAGGCAUCGAAGGGACUCGGCGGGUUUCCACUUGGCUGAGCAGAAGAUGAAUGAGGCUCUGUCCCCCACAUGGGGUCUGGAAUCUUCAAUUACGGCAAUUACAUCAACAGGCCCUCCGCUGGAGAGGUCUGGGCUUCAGAGAAAACUCCUAAAGCCACUGGAUUUUCCCUUUCUUUUAACGGCACUGGGUUGAUGAAAGGAGACCCCAGCUCCCGUCUAAUUGGGCCCUGGGUGGCGAAGGAGGGUGGUCGUGAUUUCUCACAGGAUCUGGUGCUUUGUCUCAGGAUCUCCAGUCCACGGAGCCUCAGGACAUCGGGAUGGCCCUUGUUUGGUGUCAGAAGACCCGGCUCCAGUCACUUUGCCUCUCUGAUCCUCAGUGCCCACAUCUGUAAAAUGGGCAUAGUGCAUACCAAGACCCCCUCCUCCUAAGGCCUCAGAGACUCCGAACGCUACCCAGAUCCAGACCCACUGGCAGCAGCAACCACCCGUGGCUCUCAGCAGGAGAACACACGCUCCGGUGCACCCCAAAGGGGCAGCUUCCACCCUGGAGCAGCAGGAGUGGUUCCUGAGGGGCUUCUCGUCAUGAAGGCUCUGCCUGGCCGAGGCCGAGGCACCCGGCGUGGACAGGCGGCCUCAGUGUGGUGACACCAGGGUUUCUUCUCAACACAGCUCUCUGAGAAAGGGAUCCUGACCUGGCCGUGUGCAACAGCAGCACUCCAUGGGACCGGCCCUGGGCGGGGGAGAGCAGAGAGUUGUGAACCGCAGAAGGGAGGUGACGCCCCUCGCAGCUGCCCACGCUUUUCCAGCCCCAGGACAGCACACUGCCACUCCUACCUGUGAGCAGGGUGCAGCUGUGGACUCCUUGCCGGGGCCUUUAGGAAAGGAAAUGUGAAAUAACUGGGGCUGUGAGUCCCUGCCCCAUUCCUCACCCUAACCUGGGAGGCAGCGAUGAUGCUAACUCUGCACAGACACCAGGCCUGCGCGCUCACACGAUCCCACGCUCAAGGCCGCCGUCCCCUGGGGCAGUGGAGCUCUGCAGUGCGUCAGCAGUCAGCAGCUUGUGCUUGGCAACCACCUUGCUCCUUGGAUUUACUGUUCUCAUUAAGGCCAGCUCCAGACCCGCCAGAGGCAGGGCGCCCUGCGCAUGUGCAGCCAGCCUUGAAGGCUCCCUAAGCCUGUGCAGGUCCCCUGAGGGGCAGAUGGGAUCUGACCACGUUACCCAGGCUGGUUUUGAAUUCCUGGCUUCCUGAGUAGCUGGGACCACAGGCACACACUGCCAUGCCUGGCUACUAUGCUGUCCGAUCCCCAGGAUGUGAGCAUCUGAGAAUCUUGGUGUCUGCAGGGGCCCUGGAGCUCCUCCAAAUACCAAGCGUCUCAAUGUAUCAUUCAGGCUGUUCUUGAACUCAUGAGAUAAUCCAGGCUGGGCUUGAACUUGCAGUGAUCCUCCUGCCUCAGCCUCCGAGCACUGUGAUUCCAGGUCUACGAUCGAAGGAGCCAGCUCCAAACCUUCCCUGCUGUGCUGGGAGCCUCCUGCUGCCACGGGGAGUGAAGAGCACUGAGGAAUGACAGAGCAAGAGGCAGGGACCUCAGAGCACCCAAGUCCGGCAUGGUGAUCACCAGCUGCCAAAUCCAACGUGGCUACGAAGGCAAAGUACUCUGCAGCUGACUCAACUGGAAGGCACAGGGAGGGUAAGAUGUCAACUGCAGUUUGAAGAUUUAAUUUAAAAACGUAAAAACAUCUUAUAAAUUAAUAAUUUUUUUAUGUUUGUUACAAAUUGAAACUAUCAUAUUUUAAAUGUAUUGGUUAAGUAAAUAUAUCAUUGAAAUAAAAGUUCGCC
Long non-coding RNA from Heterocephalus glaber (naked mole-rat), 2667 nucleotides. The record is from Ensembl. NCBI's taxonomy places the organism in Eukaryota, Metazoa, Chordata, Mammalia, Rodentia, Bathyergidae.